GGCACCAACGGAUGACACCGAUAAAUCCGUGGCAAACAAGGGGGACUACUGGAGGCUGGUGGCACCCUCGGGCUCAAGCGCAUGACCAGCCUGCUUGUGCGCCAGACAAAGGCCCGGCCGGGCAUGCUGCGUUGUGUCCAAUCUGUUUGUAUGUUCCGACAUGCAUGCAUAUUUAUGAGUGAGAAAGUAAGUGGGCUCCUUGUUAAUAGGGGUGGUCUUUGUCGAGCUGAGAGAGAAGUAUGUAUAAAAAUAAGUAAAAUAAAUGAAAUUAAAAAAGAAAUAAAAUCUACCACAAUAUCUUUAGCUGACCCAUCAUGGCUUGAGUGUCAGCCAAUCCAAGUAUUAAUUGGAUUAGAAUGUAUAAAAAUACCUUUUGGUGAGAUAGGAUACUAAGCAUCGUGCUGCGUGAUGACACACAAAAAAAAAAGUAGAGGAAUUUCUUUUUUUAGCUCAAGUGCUGAAAGCUAAAGUCAUGGCGGCGGCCCAGCUGCCCUGUCACUUUCCACCCCAAUGAAUGACACGGCCUGUUUUAACAUAUAUAGAAUGAGACUAAUCAGUAGACAAUGCAGAUCAUAUGGGCAAAGAAGGUUAUAUAAAAAAUGAAGCACUGCGGUGAGGAUGUCACAAACGCUCUCUAUGUUGUGCAGUGAAGCAUUGCAAAUGCAGUACAAUCCUCAGGCAAAAAUGAAUUCUUGAAGGUGGAGUCACAUUAUUCUAUGAUUUUUCUUUUGAAAAGUCAUGAGUUAGUCUGCUGACAUGUUCUCUGGUCAAGGAGACUCUUCUAAUAGGGUGUUGACACAUGAGGCACUCAAAUAAGCAUAUCAGAUUGUAAAGUCAUGGCACUGCCUUUAAUUGACGCUUCAGAAUGACUUAGAAUUUUGCUUUUCUUGGUUUGAGCGAUUGCUCAAUGUCAUAAUUCGUGUCUGGCCAAAGAUAACAAAAUAUUCUGCAUUACCUUUAAUUCGUGAUAUGUUGCUCAUUGGGUCACUCAUUUCCUUUUCUUUCGUGAUCUUAUCUGCAUUAGAAUGAGACAAAACAAAAAUAGGAAAAAAAAAAAAGCACAGAUGGUGGUUAAAGAUUGGAAAUACAUUAACAACAAAUCCAACAGUGCUUGUUUUUUCACGAGCAAGUUGCACCGUGAGGAUAUUAAUUAAUCGCAAGAAAAUUGUCAAACUUAGUUGAAAGAGUUACCUCAAUAAUCCAGACCAGGUUAGUAUUGCUCUGCGGCUCCAGCAGUCCUUGACAUGAAGAACUCUUCUCCAACUAUCAGAUUUUUUCUGAUGCUCAACGGAAUAGUCCAAACGGGGACCUGGGGCGGGGGUGGGGUGUACUCUGCACUUAGUGCCAGAUCUCGCUAAUUUUGCACCAAAAAACCCACGAGUGACAAAUUUGUGUUCCAAAAUAUAUUCAAAAGCAAAUAAGUUAAGUGUGAUUAAAACGAAUCGCUCGUGAAUUGGUCAAAUAAAUCCCCCGAAAAGAUGGCACCCCUCUGUUUUGUUGUGGCGUUGGCCUGCCCCUCCACACUAGGUCAUGCAUCUGAGUCCCGGCCGGCCGGCAUCACGGAAGCUCCAGCUGCAUACUGACACUGAGAGGUUUUGUUUAGAGUGGCCUGCUGCUGAUGAUGAUGCGGAACGUCACAGAUGAUCCUCUACUGUCCUCCAUAUAUCGUUCAACGCAAAACUAUAAAAGCAGUCAUAAUCAAUUGGAGAUUGCAUUUCA
Molecule: long non-coding RNA, 1719 nt
Organism: Syngnathus acus (greater pipefish)
Lineage: Eukaryota; Metazoa; Chordata; Actinopteri; Syngnathiformes; Syngnathidae
Exons: 2
Source: RefSeq, a predicted model, not a curated record